Molecule: ribosomal RNA, 500 nt
Filed under: uncultured bacterium
Lineage: Bacteria
Description: partial 16S ribosomal RNA
Rfam family: Bacterial small subunit ribosomal RNA
Source: RNAcentral
AUUGAACGCUGGCGGCAUGCCUUACACAUGCAAGUCGAACGGCAGCACGGACUUCGGUCUGGUGGCGAGUGGCGAACGGGUGAGUAAUGCAUCGGAACGUACCCGGUAGUGGGGGAUAACUACCCGAAAGGGUGGCUAAUACCGCAUAUACUGUGCGCAGGAAAGCAGGGGACCCUCGGGCCUUGUGCUACCGGAGCGGCCGAUGUCAGAUUAGGUAGUUGGUGGGGUAACGGCCUACCAAGCCUGCGAUCUGUAGCGGGUCUGAGAGGAUGAUCCGCCACACUGGGACUGAGACACGGCCCAGACUCCUACGGGAGGCAGCAGUGGGGAAUUUUGGACAAUGGGCGCAAGCCUGAUCCAGCCAUGCCGCGUGAGUGAAGAAGGCCUUCGGGUUGUAAAGCUCUUUCGGACGGAAAGAAAUCGCGCAGGCUAAUACCCUGCGCGGAUGACGGUACCGUCAUAAGAAGCACCGGCUAACUCCGUGCCAGCCGCCGCAGUAA